This 545-nucleotide long non-coding RNA is filed under the name Nicotiana benthamiana. RNAcentral describes it as "long non-coding RNA (NBEN_LNC018290)". The record is from RNAcentral. Lineage: Eukaryota; Viridiplantae; Streptophyta; Magnoliopsida; Solanales; Solanaceae.
GCAGAAAAUAAACAGAUACCAAGAAUCACAUAGCUAUUGAUUGUAACACUGCUAUAUUAAUUGAGUUUUACUCCAAGCAAGAGGCUUGGAUGCAUGCAUAUACCCUACUGAAAAAUUGAUAAAACUCUCUCAUGCUUACUUUUAAGAACACAUGAGAGAAAUUGUCAGGUCAACACUGUUAAAAGGAGGCUGCUCGCGCACACUAAAAAACCACGGCAUCAUACAGGAAGACAGCAACUAAGAUAGGUCAGGAACUUGUUCUUUUUCCUCUGCACAAAGGACAUGUCCAAAAUGAUUACAGGUACGGUUGCAACUUGCAUAACUACAAUGUAUAUGGAAGCUAUGUUGGUAUAUAAUGUUUGGCAUGUUCUGAUCCUAGGGCAUUAAGCAAGUACGAAUAUGGAUCUGAACAAACCCCAAUAUGCACUUAUGUUCAGUUACAUGAGGAAAUUCUGUCUGGAGAAUCUUAUAAAGCAUAGCAUUGAAGAUGAGUUUACCGUGUAACACAAUUUUUUUCGAGUUUAGGAUGUCUUACCCUGGCAGCU